CCUUGGCCUGGACAACACUCUCAUGCUCGGCCUAAACAGGAAUCAACUUGUCAAUCAAAACAACAAUGGGUUUGAUGGGCUGUCAAUCUAAGAAAAAAUACCCAAGCGAAUUUCACAUAGGACAUCUGUCAAUCAGCGUGCGCAUGUGGUCCUGAACUUCACACAGUUUCUCGUCCAAGAUGUUAUCAAGCUCUGGAAUACUGCGAUCACUGCGGCAAACAAACAAACCGGUCAACAUAACAUAUCAGCUUCCUAACAUAUCCGAACAACAACAAUAUGUAGUACACUAAAACUAUGUUGAUUUCCUUUUCACCCCGUAUAUUUGAACUGAACCCUGACCAACAACAACACCCAGGCAACACUCAGGCAACAUCCAGGCACAUAGGUAGACGCUAGGAUUGCGCGAAUCUCGAGAAAACGGGGUAUUUGGGUAUCGAAAGAUAAAACACUAUCAGACCCCCCUCCGUAUAGGAUAACACAGGAUACCCACGCUUGUGCAAGUGGCACAGCCUCGGCGGAUACCGGGAAGUUUCGGUGCUUGGUGUUCAUGCGAGCCUGUGGUGGGUGGGCAAGGGGCGAGGGUCUGCCUGGAUUUUCAAGGUGUGCAGCUACGAGAUCCUAUAACAGAAAGACACGUAAAACCGUAAACAACGUGAAACGUGACGACGUGGACGCGUGAAGCGUGACAUUGUUAUGUACUAAAGAUGACACCCU
Molecule: long non-coding RNA, 714 nt
Organism: Nematostella vectensis (starlet sea anemone)
Lineage: Eukaryota; Metazoa; Cnidaria; Anthozoa; Actiniaria; Edwardsiidae
Exons: 2
Source: RefSeq, a predicted model, not a curated record